This 1450-nucleotide ribosomal RNA is filed under the name uncultured organism. RNAcentral's name for it is "SSU rRNA". It matches the Rfam family "Bacterial small subunit ribosomal RNA". The record is from RNAcentral.
UGAACGCUAGCUACAGGCUUAACACAUGCAAGUCGAGGGGCAGCAUGGUCUUAGCUUGCUAAGGCCGAUGGCGACCGGCGCACGGGUGAGUAACACGUAUCCAACCUGCCGUCUACUCUUGGACAGCCUUCUGAAAGGAAGAUUAAUACAAGAUGGCAUCAUGAGUCCGCAUGUUCACAUGAUUAAAGGUAUUCCGGUAGACGAUGGGGAUGCGUUCCAUUAGAUAGUAGGCGGGGUAACGGCCCACCUAGUCUUCGAUGGAUAGGGGUUCUGAGAGGAAGGUCCCCCACAUUGGAACUGAGACACGGUCCAAACUCCUACGGGAGGCAGCAGUGAGGAAUAUUGGUCAAUGGGCGAGAGCCUGAACCAGCCAAGUAGCGUGAAGGAUGACUGCCCUAUGGGUUGUAAACUUCUUUUAUAAAGGAAUAAAGUCGGGUAUGCAUACCCGUUUGCAUGUACUUUAUGAAUAAGGAUCGGCUAACUCCGUGCCAGCAGCCGCGGUAAUACGGAGGAUCCGAGCGUUAUCCGGAUUUAUUGGGUUUAAAGGGAGCGUAGAUGGAUGUUUAAGUCAGUUGUGAAAGUUUGCGGCUCAACCGUAAAAUUGCAGUUGAUACUGGAUAUCUUGAGUGCAGUUGAGGCAGGCGGAAUUCGUGGUGUAGCGGUGAAAUGCUUAGAUAUCACGAAGAACUCCGAUUGCGAAGGCAGCCUGCUAAGCUGCAACUGACAUUGAGGCUCGAAAGUGUGGGUAUCAAACAGGAUUAGAUACCCUGGUAGUCCACACGGUAAACGAUGAAUACUCGCUGUUUGCGAUAUACGGCAAGCGGCCAAGCGAAAGCGUUAAGUAUUCCACCUGGGGAGUACGCCGGCAACGGUGAAACUCAAAGGAAUUGACGGGGGCCCGCACAAGCGGAGGAACAUGUGGUUUAAUUCGAUGAUACGCGAGGAACCUUACCCGGGCUUAAAUUGCAGAUGAAUUACGGUGAAAGCCGUAAGCCGCAAGGCAUCUGUGAAGGUGCUGCAUGGUUGUCGUCAGCUCGUGCCGUGAGGUGUCGGCUUAAGUGCCAUAACGAGCGCAACCCUUGUUGUCAGUUACUAACAGGUUCCGCUGAGGACUCUGACAAGACUGCCAUCGUAAGAUGUGAGGAAGGUGGGGAUGACGUCAAAUCAGCACGGCCCUUACGUCCGGGGCUACACACGUGUUACAAUGGGGGGUACAGAGGGCCGCUACCACGCGAGUGGAUGCCAAUCCCCAAAACCUCUCUCAGUUCGGACUGGAGUCUGCAACCCGACUCCACGAAGCUGGAUUCGCUAGUAAUCGCGCAUCAGCCACGGCGCGGUGAAUACGUUCCCGGGCCUUGUACACACCGCCCGUCAAGCCAUGGGAGCCGGGGGUACCUGAAGUGCGUAACCGCGAGGAGCGCCCUAGGGUAAAACUGGUGACUGGGGCUAA